CCUACGGGAGGCAGCAGUGGGGAAUAUUGGACAAUGGGCGAAAGCCUGAUCCAGCAAUUCCGCGUGUGUGAAGAAGGCCUUCGGGUUGUAAAGCACUUUAGUGGGGGAAGAAACAGCUUGGCCACACCAAGCCUUGACGGUACCCCAAGAAUAAGCACCGGCUAACUCUGUGCCAGCAGCCGCGGUAAUACAGAGGGUGCAAGCGUUAAUCGGAUUUACUGGGCGUAAAGGGUGCGUAGGUGGCUAUUUAAGUCGGAUGUGAAAGCCCGGGGCUCAACCUCGGAAUUGCAUUCGAUACUGAGUGGCUAGAGUUCGGUAGAGGGCGGCGGAAUUUCCGGUGUAGCGGUGAAAUGCGUAGAUAUCGGAAGGAACAUCAAUGGCGAAGGCAGCCGCCUGGGCCUGGACUGACACUGAGGCACGAAAGCGUGGGUAGCAAACAGGAUUAGAUACCCUGGUAGUCCACGCCGUAAACGAUGAGAACUUGACGUUGGUUCGUUUUACGAAUCGGUGUCGCNGCUACGCGAUAGUUACUCCGUCCGUGGGAGGUACGGCCGCGAGGUAGUAACGACAANAGAGUAGACGCGNGAGACGUGCCGACGGACGACGACGAGGGAGGAGG
RNAcentral lists this ribosomal RNA (619 nucleotides) under uncultured bacterium. RNAcentral describes it as "bacterial SSU rRNA". The stretch from base 1 to 537 matches the Rfam family "Bacterial small subunit ribosomal RNA", at positions 338 to 873 of the family's 1533-position model. The record is from RNAcentral.